RNAcentral lists this small RNA (26 nucleotides) under Bombyx mori (domestic silkworm). RNAcentral describes it as "ovarian small RNA-23057". Lineage: Eukaryota; Metazoa; Arthropoda; Insecta; Lepidoptera; Bombycidae. The record is from RNAcentral.
UAGUGAUGUCAUGACUGAGGUGUCUC